UACGUAGGGGGCGAGCGUUGUCCGGAUUUAUUGGGCGUAAAGAGCGUGUAGGCGGCUUUGCAAGUCCGUUGUGAAGACUCGAGGCUCAACCUCGAGACGCCGGUGGAAACUGCAAAGCUAGAGUCCGGAAGAGGAGAGUGGAAUUCCUGGUGUAGCGGUGAAAUGCGCAGAUAUCAGGAAGAACACCCGUGGCGAAGGCGGCUCUCUGGGACGGUACUGACGCUGAGACGCGAAAGCGUGGGGAGCGAACAGG
Molecule: ribosomal RNA, 253 nt
Filed under: uncultured bacterium
Lineage: Bacteria
Description: partial 16S ribosomal RNA
Rfam family: Bacterial small subunit ribosomal RNA
Source: RNAcentral